CCCCCCCAAAAAAAAAUCCUGGCUCCGCCACUGGAUAUGAAUGCUGCUGCUGCAUUAUGAAGAUGAUGAUGAUUAGACGUAGGGAAAGCUUAGCUUAGUGUUGAGCCCUUCUUUUGAUGGUCGGUUUUGUCUUGCCAUCGCGGCCGCCUUGGAUCGGAGACUACUUAGGGAUACCAUUAUAUUGCCUCUUUCCUCUUCUUAUCUAUCUCCUUGUAAUACUAAGAUACCCACAGAUAUUAUUAUUGAUGAGCCAUUUUUGAUUUAUUUAGAGAAUUUUGUUUGGUCUCUUGUACUACAUUAUACAAGAAUUUUACUACUUUUGUUCAAAUAGUGGUAUAUCAAUAUCGUGCACAUAGCAGUUCUGUUGUUUGUGUGUGAGUUGGAUUUCUAUUGUUUGCGCUUUGGUAAAUUGGAUUUGGAUUAUCUAAUUCUUUUAAUGAAUCAAGCUUAGCUUUAUGCUAGUAUUUUUCUUCUUAA
This 477-nucleotide long non-coding RNA is filed under the name Salvia miltiorrhiza (redroot sage). Its description in RNAcentral is "long non-coding RNA (SMIL_LNC012598)". Lineage: Eukaryota; Viridiplantae; Streptophyta; Magnoliopsida; Lamiales; Lamiaceae. The record is from RNAcentral.